GGGAAGUUAACUGGAAGUCCACCGGAGAUGCCCGCUGAUGCUAUUUCAGUCUGUCAUGAGGCAUUACGAGUGGCAGACGGGAGAGUAACGCGUGGGUAACCUGCCUUACACAGGGGGAUAACACCUGGAAACAUGUGCUAAUACCGCAUAAUCGCACAGGGCCACAUGGCCCGAUGUGAAAAACUCCUGUGUUGUAAGAUGGACCCGCGUCUGAUUAGCUUGUUGGCGGGGUAGGGGCCCACCAAGGCGACGAUCAGUAGCCGGCCUGAGAGGGUGGACGGCCACAUUGGGACUGAGACACGGCCCAAACUCCUACGGGAGGCAGCAGUGGGGAAUAUUGGACAAUGGGGGAAACCCUGAUCCAGCGACGCCGCGUGAGUGAAGAAGUAUUUCGGUAUGUAAAGCUCUGUCAGCAGGGAAGAAACAAAUGACGGUACCUGACCAAUAAGCCCCGGCUAACUACGUGCCAGCAGCCGCGGUAAUACGUAGGGGGCAAGCGUUAUCCGGAAUUACUGGGUGUAAAGGGAGCGUAGACGGUGAUGCAAGUCUGGAGUGAAAGGCGGGGGCCCAACCCGCGGACUGCUCUGGAAACUGUGUAUCUUGAGUGCAGGAGAGGUAAACGGAAUUCCUAGUGUAGCGGUGAAAUGCGUAGAUAUUAGGAGGAACACCAGUGGCGAAGGCGGCUUACUGGACUGUAACUGACGUUGAGGCUCGAAAGCGUGGGGAGCAAACAGGAUUAAAUACCCUGGUAGUCCACGCCGUAAACGAUGAUUACUAGGUGUCGGUGGGUAGACACCCUCCGGUGCCAGAACUAAGCCCAAUAGAUCUCAUCCGGAGGAGAACGUUUCCAGGAAGGAACCUCAAAGAAUUAACAGGGGACCCGCAACAACGUUGGAAAAU
Molecule: ribosomal RNA, 900 nt
Filed under: uncultured bacterium
Lineage: Bacteria
Description: bacterial SSU rRNA
Rfam family: Bacterial small subunit ribosomal RNA
Source: RNAcentral